This 857-nucleotide ribosomal RNA is filed under the name uncultured Pseudomonadota bacterium. RNAcentral's name for it is "bacterial SSU rRNA". It matches the Rfam family "Bacterial small subunit ribosomal RNA", at positions 58 to 887 of the family's 1533-position model. Lineage: Bacteria; Pseudomonadati; Pseudomonadota. The record is from RNAcentral.
CAAGUCGAACGCGAAAGUGGAGCAAUCCAUGAGUAGAGUGGCAAACGGGUGAGUAACACGUGGGUGACCUGCCNNUCGAGCGGGGGAUAACGUCCCGAAAGGGACGCUAAUACCGCAUAACAUCCUGCCUUUUAAGAGGUGGAGAUCAAAGCCGGGGAUCGCAAGACCUGGCACUUGAAGAGGGGCCCGCGCCUGACUAGCUAGUUGGUGGGGUAAUGGCUCACCAAGGCAACGAUCAGUAUCCGGCCUGAGAGGGCGGACGGACACACUGGGACUGAGACACGGCCCAGACUCCUACGGGAGGCAGCAGUGGGGAAUUGUUCGCAAUGGGCGCAAGCCUGACGACGCAACGCCGCGUGGAGGAUGAAGAUCUUCGGGUCGUAAACUCCUUUCGAUCGAGACGAAUGGCCUCUGGGUGAACAAUCCAGGGGAAUGACGGUACCGAGAGAAGAAGCCCCGGCUAACUCCGUGCCAGCAGCCGCGGUAAUACGGGGGGGGCAAGCGUUGUUCGGAAUUACUGGGCGUAAAGGGCUCGUAGGUGGCCAACUAAGUCAGACGUGAAAUCCCUCGGCUUAACCGGGGAACUGCGUCUGAUACUGGAUGGCUUGAGUUUGGGAGAGGGAUGCGGAAUUCCAGGUGUAGCGGUGAAAUGCGUAGAUAUCUGGAGGAACACCGGUGGCGAAGGCGGCAUCCUGGACCAAUACUGACACUGAGGAGCGAAAGCCAGGGGAGCAAACGGGAUUAGAUACCCCGGUAGUCCUGGCCCUAAACGAUGAAUGCUUGGUGUGGCGGGUAUCGAAUCCCUGCCGUGCCCGAAGCUAACGCAUUAAAGCAUUCCCCCCUGGGGAAUUACGGUC